Hypanus sabinus (Atlantic stingray) is the source of this 709-nucleotide long non-coding RNA. RefSeq lists it as uncharacterized. The record is from RefSeq and is a predicted model, not a curated record. NCBI's taxonomy places the organism in Eukaryota, Metazoa, Chordata, Chondrichthyes, Myliobatiformes, Dasyatidae. The transcript has 3 exons.
AAUCAAAGAUGACAGCCAACACAGACACUUACACUCUCUCCCCUCCUAUCAACAGAAGUCAAUGUGGACGGAUAAGAAUAAAUUGUGAUGGACCUGGGGAGAACUGAAGUGGCAUUGAAAUUCCAAGCUCCAGGAAAUCUAAAUCUGCCUCUUCUAAUUACUCCCUAGCAUGCCCUCUGAUGUAAAAAGUUGGGUUCUUUUGAAGCCCCUGACAUGAAGUUACACGAUGACUUCGGUUCUUUGCGGGAAUGGGACCCGCUCUCGGGGUCUCACAACUGGCCGUUAUUCGAUAUGCUAAGGAUGCAGCCUAAGAGAUUAGCUCACCUUCAGAGAUCCAGGAUCUCAAGCUCUGGAGACAGGCGGACCGAAGGUUUCCCGGGAGGAAAUCGGCGUGUCAUGGGAAACGGAAGAUCUCUGGGUGUGUGCCCAGAGACCUGAGAUCUUUGGGCACAGAGCUCGGAAAAAGUGACGUAAUGGACUUUUAACAUUGUAAUCAGCAAGUUGUUUGUUAUGUCUCCCCUCUCGCUGCAAAACAGAGACACCCCUUUUUCCCUUAUUAGGGAGAGCGAGAGAGAGGACCUGUGGUGUGUUGAAUACUGGGUGAACAAGUAGACUUUGGAGUACUGCAAUUCUAUGUCUUUGCUGUUGCUUUGCUGCACACCAGUGAGUGGGGUGUUGAUGAUUUUUUUUGCUGGUGCGGGGGUAUCAU